GGUCGCAAGAUUAAAACUCAAAGGAAUUGACGGGGACCCGCACAAGCGGUGGAUGAUGUGGAUUAAUUCGAUGCAACGCGAAAAACCUUACCUACCCUUGACAUGGAUGGAACCUCGGAGAGAUCUGGGGGUGCUCGAAAGAGAACCAUCACACAGGUGCUGCAUGGCUGUCGUCAGCUCGUGUCGUGAGAUGUUGGGUUAAGUCCCGCAACGAGCGCAACCCUUGUCAUUAGUUGCUACGCAAGAGCACUCUAA
This 255-nucleotide ribosomal RNA is filed under the name Pseudoduganella guangdongensis. Its description in RNAcentral is "partial 16S ribosomal RNA". It matches the Rfam family "Bacterial small subunit ribosomal RNA", at positions 884 to 1143 of the family's 1533-position model. The record is from RNAcentral. Lineage: Bacteria; Pseudomonadati; Pseudomonadota; Betaproteobacteria; Burkholderiales; Oxalobacteraceae.